This is a non-coding RNA of Ixodes scapularis (black-legged tick), 82 nucleotides long. The record is from Rfam. NCBI's taxonomy places the organism in Eukaryota, Metazoa, Arthropoda, Arachnida, Ixodida, Ixodidae.
GCAGUCGUGGCCGAGUGGUUAAGGCGAUGGACCAGAAAUCCAUUGGGGUCUCCCCGCACAGGUUCGAAUUUUGUCGACUGCG